RNAcentral lists this ribosomal RNA (1076 nucleotides) under Bacillus sp. (in: firmicutes). RNAcentral's name for it is "bacterial SSU rRNA". It matches the Rfam family "Bacterial small subunit ribosomal RNA", at positions 46 to 1113 of the family's 1533-position model. Lineage: Bacteria; Bacillati; Bacillota; Bacilli; Caryophanales; Bacillaceae. The record is from RNAcentral.
GGCUAUACUGCAGUCGAGCGGACGAAGGGAGCUUGCUCCCGGAUGUUAGCGGCGGACGGGUGAGUAACACGUGGGUAACCUGCCUGUAAGACUGGGAUAACUCCGGGAAACCGGAGCUAAUACCGGAUAGUUCCUUGAACCGCAUGGUUCAAGGAUGAAAGACGGUUUCGGCUGUCACUUACAGAUGGACCCGCGGCGCAUUAGCUAGUUGGUGGGGUAAUGGCUCACCAAGGCGACGAUGCGUAGCCGACCUGAGAGGGUGAUCGGCCACACUGGGACUGAGACACGGCCCAGACUCCUACGGGAGGCAGCAGUAGGGAAUCUUCCGCAAUGGACGAAAGUCUGACGGAGCAACGCCGCGUGAGUGAUGAAGGUUUUCGGAUCGUAAAGCUCUGUUGUUAGGGAAGAACAAGUGCGAGAGUAACUGCUCGCACCUUGACGGUACCUAACCAGAAAGCCACGGCUAACUACGUGCCAGCAGCCGCGGUAAUACGUAGGUGGCAAGCGUUGUCCGGAAUUAUUGGGCGUAAAGGGCUCGCAGGCGGUUUCUUAAGUCUGAUGUGAAAGCCCCCGGCUCAACCGGGGAGGGUCAUUGGAAACUGGGAAACUUGAGUGCAGAAGAGGAGAGUGGAAUUCCACGUGUAGCGGUGAAAUGCGUAGAGAUGUGGAGGAACACCAGUGGCGAAGGCGACUCUCUGGUCUGUAACUGACGCUGAGGAGCGAAAGCGUGGGGAGCGAACAGGAUUAGAUACCCUGGUAGUCCACGCCGUAAACGAUGAGUGCUAAGUGUUAGGGGGUUUCCGCCCCUUAGUGCUGCAGCUAACGCAUUAAGCACUCCGCCUGGGGAGUACGGUCGCAAGACUGAAACUCAAAGGAAUUGACGGGGGCCCGCACAAGCGGUGGAGCAUGUGGUUUAAUUCGAAGCAACGCGAAGAACCUUACCAGGUCUUGACUCCUCUGACACCCUAGAGAUAGGCUUUCCCUUCGGGGACAAAGUGACAGGUGGUGCAUGGUUGUCGUCAGCUCGUGUCGUGAGAUGUUGGGUAAGUCCCGAACGAGCGCACCCUUGAUCUAAU